RNAcentral lists this ribosomal RNA (515 nucleotides) under uncultured bacterium. RNAcentral describes it as "partial 16S ribosomal RNA". It matches the Rfam family "Bacterial small subunit ribosomal RNA", at positions 28 to 523 of the family's 1533-position model. The record is from RNAcentral.
GAUGAACGCUGGCCGCGUGCCUAAUACAUGCAAGUCGAGCGAAUGGAUUAAGAGCUUGCUCUUAUGAAGUUAGCGGCGGACGGGUGAGUAACACGUGGGUAACCUGCCCAUAAGACUGGGAUAACUCCGGGAAACCGGGGCGAAUACCGGAUAACAUUUUGAACCGCAUGGUUCGAAAUUGAAAGGCGGCUUCGCCUGUCACUUAUGGAUGGACCCGCGUCGCAUUAGCUAGAUGGUGAGGUAACGGAUGAGCAAGGCAACGAUGCGUAGCCGACCUGAGAGGGUGAUCGGCCACACUGGGACUGAGACACGGCCCAGACUCCUACGGGAGGCAGCAGUAGGGAAUCUUCCGCAAUGGACGAAAGUCUGACGGAGCAACGCCGCGUGAGUGAUGAAGGCUUUCGGGUCGUAAAACUCUGUUGUUAGGGAAGAACAAGUGCUAGUUGAAUAAGCUGGCACCUUGACGGUACCUAACCAGAAAGCCACGGCUAACUACGUGCCAGCAGCCGCCGUAA